GUUCGCCAGUAGAGGGCACGUGCUGACAAUUUUUCCAGCAUACAGAGUUAAAAGACGCGUUUGAAAACGAGGCUAAAUACAUAGUCUUAAUCAAUAUAGUCAAUAUAAUCAGUUAAUUCGUCACGAAGUAAAGUUUAAUUAAUGUCCCUCUCUCCCUUGGGUGCCGUGCUUUGCCAGUAUGUGAUACAUUUAUAUCGUCGAAAUUGUACAUUUAUAUCCUGGAAAUAACUCGUGAUUGCAGUAUUCCGUGGAAGCGCCUUUGAGUUUGUGGAAUCAAUACGGGGCUGCCUGCCUCACAGGUAUAGGGUGAAAACCAUAAAUACUGUCGAGUUCACAUAGAGAUUAAAGCCAUUGUUGCAUGGCGUUACACGCUGUGUAGGCCGCCACAGUGUAGGUCUAAUAAUAAAUGUUUGGAAGUACCACCUGCCCAUGAGCUCAGCUGAAACACUGGACACCGAUAGUGGUCCCUUUGUGGCCCCCUGGGGGUCCCCUGAGCCCAGUUUCAAAAAGUCUGUCCUACAGGGCCGAAUUACCCACAGAGCGCAUGUCCUGCUCUUGAGUGUAGUCAACAGUGGUGCCUGGGCCGCCAACCCCACUGGUGAUGCCAUUAAGAAGACCUCCGCCAUUACCACCUCCAAGACCUGAGGCAGCACCACCAUCAGGACCUCCACCAACUUUAUCAACAAUUCC
Carassius gibelio (silver crucian carp) is the source of this 690-nucleotide long non-coding RNA. RefSeq lists it as uncharacterized. Lineage: Eukaryota; Metazoa; Chordata; Actinopteri; Cypriniformes; Cyprinidae. The record is from RefSeq and is a predicted model, not a curated record. The transcript is spliced from 3 exons.